Molecule: ribosomal RNA, 254 nt
Filed under: uncultured bacterium
Lineage: Bacteria
Description: partial 16S ribosomal RNA
Rfam family: Bacterial small subunit ribosomal RNA
Source: RNAcentral
AACGUAGGAGGCGAGCGUUAUCCGGAUUCACUGGGCGUAAAGCGCGCGUAGGCGGUUGGGUAAGUCGGACGUGAAAGCCCCUGGCUCAACUGGGGGAGGCCGUUCGAUACUGCCCGGCUUGAGGGUGAGAGAGGGAAGUGGAAUUCCCGGUGUAGCGGUGGAAUGCGUAGAGAUCGGGAGGAACACCAGUGGCGAAGGCGGCUUCCUGGCUCACCCCUGACGCUGAUAGCGCGAAAGCGUGGGGAGCAAACGGG